This 382-nucleotide ribosomal RNA is filed under the name uncultured bacterium. RNAcentral describes it as "bacterial SSU rRNA". It matches the Rfam family "Bacterial small subunit ribosomal RNA", at positions 355 to 754 of the family's 1533-position model. The record is from RNAcentral.
UCGGGAAUUUUGGGCAAUGGGCGAAAGCCUGACCCAGCAACGCCGCGUGAAGGAUGAAGUAUUUCGGUAUGUAAACUUCGAAAGAAUAGGAAGAAUAAAUGACGGUACUAUUUAUAAGCUCCGGCUAACUACGUGCCAGCAGCCGCGGUAAUACGUAGGGAGCAAGCGUUGUUCGGAUUUACUGGGCGUAAAGGGCGCGUAGGCGGCGCGGUAAGUCACUUGUGAAAUCUCUGGGCUUAACCCAGAACGGCCAAGUGAUACUGUCGCGCUAGAGUGCAGAAGGGGCAAUCGGAAUUCUUGGUGUAGCGGUGAAAUGCGUAGAUAUCAAGAGGAACACCUGAGGUGAAGACGGGUUGCUGGGCUGACACUGACGCUGAGGCGC